This 467-nucleotide ribosomal RNA is filed under the name uncultured bacterium. RNAcentral's name for it is "bacterial SSU rRNA". It matches the Rfam family "Bacterial small subunit ribosomal RNA", at positions 28 to 496 of the family's 1533-position model. The record is from RNAcentral.
GACGAACGCUGGCGGCGUGCCUAAUACAUGCAAGUCGAGCGGGGAUUAUGCUUGAUCGCUUCGGUGAGACGGCAUAUAUCCUAGCGGCGGACGGGUGAGUAACGCGUGGGUAAUCUACCUCGUAGUUCGGGAUAACAGGCCGAAAGGCUUGCUAAUACCGGAUGAGUUCAUGCUUAUGCAUAUAGGCAUGAAGAAAGGGCUAGCCCGCUAUGAGAUGAGCCCGCGUCCCAUUAGAUUGUUGGUGAGGUAAUGGCUCACCAAGUCGACGAUCGUUAGCUGGUCUGAGAGGAUGAUCAGCCAGACUGGGACUGAGAACGGCCCAGACUCCUACGGGAGGCAGCAGUAGGGAAUUUUCCACAAUGGACGAAAGUCUGAUGGAGCAACGCCGCGUGCAGGAUGAAUGCCUUCGGGUUGUAAACUGCUUUUAUCUGUGACGAAUAUGACGGUAGCAGAUGAAUAAGGAUCGG